GGCUCAGAUUGAACGCUGGCGGCAGGCCUAACACAUGCAAGUCGAGCGGUAGAGAGAAGCUUGCUUCUCUUGAGAGCGGCGGACGGGUGAGUAAUACCUAGGAAUCUGCCUGAUAGUGGGGGAUAACGUUCGGAAACGGACGCUAAUACCGCAUACGUCCUACGGGAGAAAGCAGGGGACCUUCGGGCCUUGCGCUAUCAGAUGAGCCUAGGUCGGAUUAGCUAGUUGGUGAGGUAAUGGCUCACCAAGGCUACGAUCCGUAACUGGUCUGAGAGGAUGAUCAGUCACACUGGAACUGAGACACGGUCCAGACUCCUACGGGAGGCAGCAGUGGGGAAUAUUGGACAAUGGGCGAAAGCCUGAUCCAGCCAUGCCGCGUGUGUGAAGAAGGUCUUCGGAUUGUAAAGCACUUUAAGUUGGGAGGAAGGGCAGUUACCUAAUACGUGACUGUCUUGACGUUACCGACAGAAUAAGCACCGGCUAACUCUGUGCCA
Molecule: ribosomal RNA, 494 nt
Filed under: Pseudomonas fragi
Lineage: Bacteria; Pseudomonadati; Pseudomonadota; Gammaproteobacteria; Pseudomonadales; Pseudomonadaceae
Description: bacterial SSU rRNA
Rfam family: Bacterial small subunit ribosomal RNA
Source: RNAcentral